RNAcentral lists this non-coding RNA (819 nucleotides) under Pylocheles mortensenii. The record is from RNAcentral. Lineage: Eukaryota; Metazoa; Arthropoda; Malacostraca; Decapoda; Pylochelidae.
UUAGAGUUUGAUUUUUGCUCAUUUAAUUUAUAUAAUAGAUAAAAUAUAUAUGAAAGCUCUUACAUAUAAAACAAUUUAUUACUCAAAGUUAUAAAUAUUAUCAAACUAUUGUAUACUUCAAUAUAUAAUAUUAAAUAAAUUAAAUAAACUUAGAUUUAAUAUCUAUUACAUCUCUGGUUAAUUUUUGUGCCAGCCACCGCGGUUAUACUUAAAGAGAUAUAAAUUAUAUAAGUUUUAUAGUAUAUUAAAAUUCAAUAAUUUAAUAUUUUUAUUAAUAUAAAAGGUAAAAUUAAAUAUAUUUUUAAAAAUUAUUAAACAAAAUUAUUUAUAUAAUUCUAUAAAAAUAAAAACAUAAACUAGGAUUAGAUACCCUACUAUUUUUAUAUAUAAUCCAAACUAGAAAACUAAAUGAUAAUUUUCCCUAAAUUCAAAAAAUUUGGCGGUAUUCUAAUCUAAUUAGAGGAACCUGUUUUAUAAAUGAUAAACCACGAAAUAUCUUACUUAUUUUAAUCAGUUUGUAUACCGUCAUUAUUAAAUAACUUAUAAAUAAAUAGUUGUUUCAAAUAAUAAUUUUAUUAAAUAUAUUAGAUCAAGGUGCAACAAAUAAAUAAGAAAAAAUGUGUUACAAUAAAAUUAAUUUAUAGCGAAUUUAUUAAAAGAAUAUAUAAUAUGAAGAUGGAUUUAAUAGUAAGAUUUUUAUUUAAUAAGGAAAUCUGAUAUCAGCAAUAGAAUAUGUACAUAUCGCCCGUCACUCUCAUUAAAGAAAGAUGAGAUAAGUCGUAACAUAGUAGGUGUACCGGAAGGUGUACCUAGAUUUCA